GACGAACGCUGGCGGCGUGCUUAACACAUGCAAGUCGAACGAUGACGACCGAGCUUGCUCGGUCUGAUUAGUGGCGAACGGGUGAGUAACACGUGAGCAACCUGCCCUUCACUCUGGGAUAACCUCGGGAAAUCGGGGCUAAUACCGGAUAUGAGCUCCUGUCGCAUGGCGGGUGUUGGAAAGUUUUUCGGUGAAGGAUGGGCUCGCGGCCUAUCAGUUUGUUGGUGAGGUAGUGGCUCACCAAGGCGAUGACGGGUAGCCGGCCUGAGAGGGCGACCGGCCGCACUGGGACUGAGACACGGCCCAGACUCCUACGGGAGGCAGCAGUGGGGAAUAUUGCACAAUGGGCGAAAGCCUGAUGCAGCGACGCCGCGUGAGGGAUGACGGCCUUCGGGUUGUAAACCUCUUUCAGCAGGGAAGAAGCGAAAGUGACGGUACCUGCAGAAGAAGCGCCGGCUAACUACGUG
RNAcentral lists this ribosomal RNA (467 nucleotides) under uncultured bacterium. RNAcentral describes it as "partial 16S ribosomal RNA". It matches the Rfam family "Bacterial small subunit ribosomal RNA", at positions 28 to 507 of the family's 1533-position model. The record is from RNAcentral.